This 274-nucleotide ribosomal RNA is filed under the name uncultured bacterium. RNAcentral's name for it is "partial 16S ribosomal RNA". It matches the Rfam family "Bacterial small subunit ribosomal RNA", at positions 523 to 796 of the family's 1533-position model. The record is from RNAcentral.
AUACAGAGGGUGCAAACGUUGUUCGGAAUCACUGGGCUUAAAGCGCGCGUAGGCGGCGACAUCAGUGUCUUGUGAAAGCCCCCGGCUCAACCGGGGAACUGCAGGGCAUACUGUGUUGCUAGAGUACGAGAGGGGAGCGGAGAACUCCUGGUGGAGCGGUGGAAUGCGUAGAUAUCAGGAGGAAUGCCGAAGGUGAAGACACCUCUCUAACUCGUAACUGACGCUAAGGCGCGAAAGCUAGGGUAGCGAACGGGAUUAGAUACCCGAGUAGUCC